Molecule: ribosomal RNA, 433 nt
Filed under: uncultured bacterium
Lineage: Bacteria
Description: partial 16S ribosomal RNA
Rfam family: Bacterial small subunit ribosomal RNA
Source: RNAcentral
AACGAACGCUGGCGGCAUGCCUAACACAUGCAAGUCGAACGAUACCUUCGGGUCUAGUGGCGCACGGGUGCGUAACGCGUCGGAACCUUCCCUUAGGUUCGGACUAACUCUCCGAAAGGGGUGCUAAUACGGGACAAUUUCUUCGGACCAAAGAUUUAUCUCCUUUGGAGGGGUCCGCGUUGGAUUUGCUAGUUGGUAGGGUAAAAGCCCACCAAGGCUAAGUUGCAUAGCUGGUCUGGGAGCAUGACCAGCCACACUGGGACUGAGACACGGCCCAGACUCCUACGGGAGGAAGCAGUGGGGAAUAUUGGACAAUGGGCGAAAGACGGAGCCAGCAAGGCCGCGUGAGUGAUGAAGGCGUUAGGGUUGUAAAGCUCUGUUACCCGGGAUGAUAAUGACGGUACCGGGAGAAUAAGCUCCGGCUAACUCCGUG